This is a long non-coding RNA of Hipposideros armiger (great roundleaf bat), 2743 nucleotides long. RefSeq lists it as uncharacterized. The record is from RefSeq and is a predicted model, not a curated record. The transcript has 2 exons. NCBI's taxonomy places the organism in Eukaryota, Metazoa, Chordata, Mammalia, Chiroptera, Hipposideridae.
AUGUUUCCUUUGGGGGGGAGGGGGGACUGGAAUUAAACUUGUUUAAUCCAUACUUUGUAUCGUAGCUAUUUCUCAUAAAAGCAACUUAAAAUCUUAUGAAAAUCUUAUAGCAUUAUUAGACACAGAAGUUAAACAAAUUGUUUACAUAAACAUGGACUUCUAAUUUUUGAAAAAUUGGACUUUUCAUAAAACACAUCACAUUUCGUUGACUACUUUCAGAGAUGCAGAGGCGUUGUCAUUUGACUCCAAGCUAAAUAUUGCUUGCAACUAAAAUGUGCCACUCCACAGAACACAAACAAAAUUCUUUUUGACCUUUGACUUCUUGAAAACAUUUAUUUUGGAUAUAAAACUUAGUGCCCCAAACAAAUUUUACCCAAAGCCCCCUAUACAAGUAUAUAAAACCAUGAAAGCUUUAGCAGGUUUGAGGGUGGCAUGAAAUAGGUAUGGGGAACCAAAUACCCUAACCUCUACCCCAACCCCAUUAUCUGGGUCAACCUCAACGUAGUUAGGGUGUUUAAAAGCAUCCUAUCUUAUGUUCCACUUCAGUGUUUUACUCAAGGAAGAGCUCAUGCAGCUCAAUGAUUUGAUUCUAAGAAAUCCUUUCAGUGAUGAUGAAAACACCAUAUUGCACUUCUCUAGUUAAAAUUUUUAAAAGUGCUUUAAAAUACAUUAUAUUAUUUGUUAUACAUGGAGUUAUACUUUCACAGGUUUCCACAUUAGAGAAUUCCGUUUCUUUAAUGAAUCUUCAGCAAGUAAAUCUGUAUUGCAGAAAUAUCCAUUCCUAGGAAAAUCCCACAAAUGGUGACAGUCACUAGUAUAUUUUAUGAUUAUUUUUAUUUUUGAAAAAUCAAUACCUAAUGUUCCAUGGAAAGCUUUAAGUUGUUUUAGCAGUUCACUAAAAAAUGUCCAAAGACUUUAAAGCCUGACUUAAUUCAGCCAAGAUGGGCUAAUUAUAUGUAAUAGGCUUCUAUCCUAAUUACUUUUCUUAAAAAAAAAAGAUCUUUUUAAAUGUUCAUUCCAUCAAAAAACUAAGAAUAAGAAACAAGGAGUUUCUUUUAAUGCCCACUAUGAUCUGUACUAAUUUUCACUGCUCAGCUGUCACACAAUUAUAAUUGUUUAUAUACAUGUUAAAGAGAAAAAUAAAAAGAUUCACAUCUGAUACACUUCCAAAUAUACUUCACUCCCUUUUCUUCAACUUUGGGGUAUUAUCAGAAAAGUACUUUUCAAGACAUAAGAAAUAGUAAAGGAAAAGAAACCAUUUUUAGGACAUUCACAAUCCAAUUAAGUUCAUCAUCUCUUUAAUUAGGGGCAGAGAUGGGGAGAAUUUCAGAAGGUAGUGAAACCAAAGGUGGAUCCUCACAUACACCUGCUAUUCUCAUCAUCUUAAUCCAUCUGUUCACUGCUCCAGUCAUCAGUACUAAGCAUAGUAUUAUCAUAACGAGUACCUGGCUGUCAGGUUGUUGACAUUCAAGAGAUUAGAAAUAGUUUUCCAUCACGUUAUCCUACCAUAUCCAUGGUCUUCCUUGAAUUACCUUCCAGUAUUUACUGGGCUUCACCUACCACUUAUGUCUAGCUUAACUUUUUCUGACUUCACCAAUUGCUGCUAGGAACGUGGCUGGUCAUUCAGCAAUGUAACCCAAAUCGUAGGGGAAGACCUUGAAAUGUCUGGAGAGACUGAUCCGCUCUGAAUAAACUCAGUUCAAAGAAAUGCCAGGGAGCUGCAUCUGCUUGCUGAAAAUUUUGUCAGCUUUUUUCACUGUGGACAGACAACAAAGCUGGAGAGAAAAGAGCUAAAUUACUUAACUGGAAGUGAAGAUGAGCGUGCAAGAGUUGACCUGUAAUUACCUGAAGUCCACGUCUCCAAGGCUUGCUGGACCUGUCAAACUCUUUAACUUGUCAUUGUCUGGAUGGUAUGACAGUCCAGAAGACCUAGAAGAGUUCUGGCAUAAAAUGCGGACCAUCUACCAGUUGGGGAAGGAACCACUUGUAACAGGAACAAAAGGAUCCAUUUUUUAUUUCAACAAGUUGCAUUGAAGAUGAGUUUUUGGACAUUUAGAAGCCAGGAGACACCACCUAAACUGCAAGAUUAAAACCAAGGACUAAGGCACACUGGGAAAAGAAUGCUUAGCACUUGAAGAUUGAAUGUUGAAUACUACCUGCUGAAUGUUCCCAUUGAGAUUUUUUUCUAAACUUCACUAACAUUUUAGGACAAUAAACUGGAGAAGCAUUGAUCCCGGGGUGGAGUGCCGUACCACUGGCCAAUCUGAAGAGCUAAACCUGGAUUUGACUGCUGUAUUCUACCGGGAAUAUUGUUAGGCUAGCCUUUAACCAGUCUGUUAAACAAUUAUAAUCAUUAGUUGACCUAGCAAUCCCUCAAAUAUCAGAUAAAAGAUGAACAAAAUCCUUUCCUAGGUAUAAUUCUUAUCCCUAUUAAAGAGACGACAAUUUUCUAAUAUUGUGACUGCCAGUGUAACUUAAUUUCCAUUUCAGUUUGUUAGUAAGUGGUUUCCAUUUUAAAGCUGUUUGGAUGUUCAACACUAAUUAUUCAAUAGAAUGUGAUUGCAUAAUCAAGCUAUGGUAAAAGAAAGCCUGAAAUUGGGAUUAGAUUGCAGAUGGUCAGAUUUUAACAAUUUAAUUCAGUUUGAUUUGACAGCUUUUUCUUUCUUUGCUUAUUACCUUGAUAAUCCUAUUUAAUAUGUAUCAAAUAGAUAAUAUCCCUUGCGGUAAAGUACAUUCUCGGAAA